Poecilia latipinna (sailfin molly) is the source of this 884-nucleotide long non-coding RNA. RefSeq lists it as uncharacterized. The transcript has 2 exons. The record is from RefSeq and is a predicted model, not a curated record. Lineage: Eukaryota; Metazoa; Chordata; Actinopteri; Cyprinodontiformes; Poeciliidae.
CCUACUUGUUAUCCGUCUGUCUGGACACAGAAUCAAUAUAACCAGUUUAAAAGCUAAAAUGAAUGGUUAUAUGCCAGACAUGGAAAACUGGGAUGCACUCCAUGCCAUGAUGUUCAGCUACCCAGCUAUAUGCUGACUGGAUAGCUCAAUGGGUAAGUCACCUGACUUUCAGGAGACCUGGGUUUAAUUCCAGGCAGGGGCAAAGAUACAACAGUAAAAUUGAGCAGAAAGCUGUCUGCAUUGAUUACCAAAAAUCGUUUGAAAAUUAUUACCAAGAAUAAAAUUAUUAUUUAGCUUGUCAUAAGAGACAAAAGGGGCUCAAAAUGAUAUCCAUUUAUAAGUGCCAUGGUUGUAUUUAGCUCCAAACUGUUAGGUACCAGGCUGGUGGGUCCGCCAUUUUCCUUUACAGAUCAUCCACCAGAGGGCGCCAGAUGACAGCAGGUUCCUGGAGGCAUGCCGGCAGGUCCUAAUCAGACGCACCUGUAGGGAAUUGCCUUCUCCUGGAGGUGUAUAUAAGCAGCUGGCUGCCAGCACGUCUUCGCCAGAGUGUUUGCCUUGACUGGACGCCUUCAGAGCUUUCCAGGAGAUCUCGAGUUUCCCACCUCCAGAAUAUCUGUGCUGUCUGGACUUACCUGUUCCGCCCUCCUACACUCUCUGAAUACCCACCGCCUGAUGCCUGACUUUGCCCUCUCCUAUCCCAAUCUACACCAUCUACAGUAAGAUCUCCUGAUUCAUUUUUCCCUGAGCCGUACACCUGUCAUCACCCAAGACUCAUCAUCUCUUUCUCAUACAGUGAGCGGUAGCACCCGGAUCCCUUUGUCGUGGAGGAGGACCUGACAAAUCUGUUUAACUGAGUUUUGUGUUUAAUAAACCUUUGGACUUUU